RNAcentral lists this long non-coding RNA (1824 nucleotides) under Homo sapiens (human). Its description in RNAcentral is "non-protein coding LINC00885:10". The record is from RNAcentral. Lineage: Eukaryota; Metazoa; Chordata; Mammalia; Primates; Hominidae.
CUGGUGAGAGAAAGCUGAGCAGAAUGGAUCUAAUCUGAUUCCUCCACCCAGAAGCCCUUAAAAUGCAGCUUUGUUUUAAGCCUUCUUGAAGAUUUGGGCUAGAUCUAGAAAAGAACCUCACCACGGAGGAUGUGCAAAGUACAACACGUGACCCCGGAGACGGAAGCUCUUCUCUACCUCCGUAAAGAUGAUCUCUGAUGAACAGACAUGAUCAUGCCUGGAGAACAGGGAUGGACAGUCCCGCUUCUGAAAGACCCUGUCUGGCUGAUGAUUCAUGGUGCGCCGGGCAGACCCCAGGCCAAGAGACCCCACCCACAGUACCUGAGUGCUCAGCUGGGAACCAGACCAGACCUCAAAACAGGUUCCCAAGGUUACCACCCAACCCUGCCAACUUUCGCACCCCGCAAGGAGCAAGACCCCGCCCGCUCACCACCUGCCUGUGCAGCCAACGGGCCUCGCUGAGCUGCCCUGGGCCGCUCCCUCCAUUCACACAGUUGGCCCUCCCUCUCCCUGCCUCCCUUCGCCUACCCCACGAACUACUUCAUCCCUCUGGGCCGGCACUGUAGAAGCCCCAUUGUUCACAUCGACCUCCCAAUUAUCUCCUCUUUCCCUCUCCCUCUGCUCCUGCCCAGACCAGCCCCCCAGCAUUGACCUGGAUGCCUGCCACAGCCUCCUCCCUGGUCUCCGGCCUCCCACCUCUGCUCCUCGGUCUCCUCUACCCAGCCAGUAACUGCAGAGAGCACUAAAGCACAGUCCUGGCAUCUCACCCCCUUAACCCUGGCCACGGCUUCCCAGUGCCUCCAAGAUAAAGCACCAACACCUGAGGACAGCAGCUUGUUUUGAGAGUCCCCUCCAUUGAAACACGCACAUCUAAUUUGUCCUUCAGUUCGCUGGACUCCACGCUGAACGUGCCAUGCUCCAUUGCCCCGUGAGUAACUCCAUGCUCUUGCCGGUUUCACACGGCCUCUCAGAGCUGGAGCCUUUGUUCAGGAGCCCUGGGCAGCUUUCAGGAAGCUCUUGGGCUCAUCAGCUUCCUCUGGCUGAAGCCGCCCCAGUGGAAUCAUGGGGAUUUCUUACUUUGAAGGUGGGGCCACCCGCAGACUGUAACCGGCUGGUUCAAGAUCAAGGACUUCCCCAGGCCACCUGCCUCAGAGGCAAGAAAGGCUCAGCUGAGUCCCAGACACUCCUCGCUGUGGCCCCUCCUUCCUCCCUGCUGGGCAGGCCCCCCUCAAUUCUGUUUGCCAGCAGGGCCUAGUAACACUGAAAGACGAAAAGGGAAAUAAAAUAAACACAAUUAAUAGGCUAAAGGUUACUGAAUAAAGUGGCAGCAGUAAAUAAAUUGACUACUGUGCAAAUACAAAGACAUGAAGACAUGAAACCCCUGCUCUAAAUGACCACUCACCAAGAGCAAGGCCUGGGCUGGAGGCAGGGAGCACCUCCCUAAGGAGCACUCCCUCUUUCCCGGAGUGAGUCCUCCUUCUAGAUGGAAUUCAGUCCGGGUUCCUCUUGAGCCACAGUCCCUGUUGGGGCCUAUCUCAGUGGACUCAAGAUCCUGAACUUCUUCCAGAUUGCUGACUACACAUUUGAGUCACCCAGAGAUUAAAAGAAAAAACAAAUAAUUUCCCAGUGAUCAGGAGUAAAUCAGCUGGGGCAGGGUUGGUGCUAUGAAUGACCACACUGAUUUGUACACUUCACUGAUUUGUAGUGUUUGCUAUUUCCGUCGUGUAAAUACUGCCAACAUGGACAAUCUUCAGUUGCUAAUGGUUUACUAACUGGCUUGUAAAUGAAUUCAUUCAGUAUUCAAGAAAAUGGCACUACAUUUAG